UGGUACUUGUACCGACUGGAUGAGCAGCGAACGGGUGAGUAACGCGUGGGGAAUCUGCCUUUGAGCGGGGGACAACAUUUGGAAACGAAUGCUAAUACCGCAUAAAAACUUUAAACACAAGUUUUAAGUUUGAAAGAUGCAAUUGCAUCACUCAAAGAUGAUCCCGCGUUGUAUUAGCUAGUUGGUGAGGUAAAGGCUCACCAAGGCGAUGAUACAUAGCCGACCUGAGAGGGUGAUCGGCCACAUUGGGACUGAGACACGGCCCAAACUCCUACGGGAGGCAGCAGUAGGGAAUCUUCGGCAAUGGACGAAAGUCUGACCGAGCAACGCCGCGUGAGUGAAGAAGGUUUUCGGAUCGUAAAACUCUGUUGGUAGAGAAGAACGUUGGUGAGAGUGGAAAGCUCAUCAAGUGACGGUAACUACCCAGAAAGGGACGGCUAACUACGUGCCAGCAGCCGCGGUAAUACGUAGGUCCCGAGCGUUGUCCGGAUUUAUUGGGCGUAAAGCGAGCGCAGGUGGUUUAUUAAGUCUGGUGUAAAAGGCAGUGGCUCAACCAUUGUAUGCAUUGGAAACUGGUAGACUUGAGUGCAGGAGAGGAGAGUGGAAUAUCCAUGUGGUAGCGGUGG
Molecule: ribosomal RNA, 626 nt
Filed under: Lactococcus lactis
Lineage: Bacteria; Bacillati; Bacillota; Bacilli; Lactobacillales; Streptococcaceae
Description: bacterial SSU rRNA
Rfam family: Bacterial small subunit ribosomal RNA
Source: RNAcentral